Molecule: ribosomal RNA, 467 nt
Filed under: uncultured bacterium
Lineage: Bacteria
Description: partial 16S ribosomal RNA
Rfam family: Bacterial small subunit ribosomal RNA
Source: RNAcentral
ACGAACGCUGGCGGCGUGCUUCACACAUGCCCGUCGAACGGAAAGGCCCUGCUUUUGUGGGGUGCUCGAGUGGCGAACGGGUGAGUAACACGUGAGUAACCUGCCCUUGACUUUGGGAUAACUUCAGGAAACUGGGGCUAAUACCGGAUAGGAGCUCCUGCUGCAUGGUGGGGGUUGGAAAGUUUCGGCGGUUGGGGAUGGACUCGCGGCUUAUCAGCUUGUUGGUGGGGUAGUGGCUUACCAAGGCUUUGACGGGUAGCCGGCCUGAGAGGGUGACCGGCCACAUUGGGACUGAGAUACGGCCCAGACUCCUACGGGAGGCAGCAGUGGGGAAUAUUGCACAAUGGGCGGAAGCCUGAUGCAGCAACGCCGCGUGCGGGAUGACGGCCUUCGGGUUGUAAACCGCUUUCGCCUGUGACGAAGCGUGAGUGACGGUAAUGGGUAAAGAAGCACCGGCUAACUACGUG